This 581-nucleotide long non-coding RNA is filed under the name Homo sapiens (human). RNAcentral describes it as "non-protein coding MIR99AHG:45". The record is from RNAcentral. Lineage: Eukaryota; Metazoa; Chordata; Mammalia; Primates; Hominidae.
AGCACAUAGCACUGGCUGGUUAUAAAGGACUUGUCUAGGGGAGAGCCUAUGGAUCUGAGAACGCUGUCUGGGCUUGGUACCAAGAGCUGGUAUUUCACAGCAGCGACCGCCUCACAGACGAGCUGUGGGAAGCAGGAGGGAGACUCUCUCUUAGGGUGCCACUACUAUGGAGACACAGCUGGGCUGAACAAGAUUUGCUUCAAACGACAACAAGAGAGACAGAAAGUAUCUGGUUCAACCGCUGCCCGAGCAGGCAGGCACCAGAAGAGCUAGCAGCCAAUCCGGCCAUGCUCGAAGCCAGCUCUGCAGCUCAGCCAAUCAGUGACAUCAUUGCUUUCUUUAGCUUGCCCAUGGUGAUGUGAAGAUGAGAAGAAAUAGCAAGGCCCAACCAGUUCUUCAUCUGGAGACAGUUCAACGUUCUGCAAACCAGAUCUUCAGGAAUUUUACUGGGAUAAUUAUCCAAAUAAAUUGCAAGCAUUCUAUCCAAAUGGAGCUCUUUCUGAGAUGAAGAGAAUUCUCAAUGUCAAGAUUUGAACAAGAAGAGAAUGGAAUACACAAUAUGGACAUCCAUAAAAAUUCAU